UGAACGCUAGCGACAGGCUAACACAUGCAAGUCGAGGGGUAACAGGGUAGCAAUACCGCUGACGACCGGCGCACGGGUGAGUAACGCGUAUGCAACCUGCCUAUAACUGGGGAAUAGCUCCCUGAAAGGGGAAUUAACACCGCAUAAUACUAUUGAUUCGCAUGGAUUGGUAGUUAAAUGUAGCGAUACAGGUUAUAGAUGGGCAUGCGUGACAUUAGCUAGUUGGUGAGGUAACGGCUCACCAAGGCUACGAUGUCUAGGGGUUCUGAGAGGAAGGUCCCCCACACUGGUACUGAGACACGGACCAGACUCCUACGGGAGGCAGCAGUGAGGAAUAUUGGUCAAUGGGCGCAAGCCUGAACCAGCCAUGUCGCGUGCAAGGAAGACUGCCCUAUGGGUUGUAAACUGCUUUUGUAUGGGAGCAAUAAGGGCUACGUGUAGUCCGAUGAGAGUACCAUACGAAUAAGCACCGGCUAACUCCGUGCCAGCAGCCGC
RNAcentral lists this ribosomal RNA (495 nucleotides) under uncultured bacterium. RNAcentral describes it as "bacterial SSU rRNA". It matches the Rfam family "Bacterial small subunit ribosomal RNA", at positions 30 to 518 of the family's 1533-position model. The record is from RNAcentral.